The sequence is a regulatory RNA element, 126 nucleotides long. It matches the Rfam family "Ribosomal protein L20 leader". From Rfam's summary of the family: This family is a putative r-protein leader autoregulatory structure found in B. subtilis and other low-GC Gram-positive bacteria. It is located in the 5' untranslated regions of mRNAs encoding initiation factor 3 followed by ribosomal proteins L35 and L20 (infC-rpmI-rplT). The record is from Rfam.
CAAAGCAAGCAGAAGCGCCCGCUUCUCACCUGAUUGACGCUCAUUGAGCAGUUGCCAGGUAUGAUGGGAUUCAUGAUUAGUGAAUGUACAAGUGUGGGCGUCUAGCGCCUACACUUUUUUUAUUGC